AGAUCCCUCAAAGAUGAUGAGGUUAAUAGGUUCGAGGUGGAAGCAUGGUGACAUGUGGAGCUGACGAAUACUAAUCGAUCGAAGACUUAAUCAA
RNAcentral lists this ribosomal RNA (94 nucleotides) under Staphylococcus aureus. RNAcentral describes it as "partial 23S ribosomal RNA". It matches the Rfam family "Bacterial large subunit ribosomal RNA", at positions 2831 to 2925 of the family's 2925-position model. Lineage: Bacteria; Bacillati; Bacillota; Bacilli; Caryophanales; Staphylococcaceae. The record is from RNAcentral.